Molecule: ribosomal RNA, 328 nt
Filed under: uncultured Bacteroidota bacterium
Lineage: Bacteria; Pseudomonadati; Bacteroidota
Description: bacterial SSU rRNA
Rfam family: Bacterial small subunit ribosomal RNA
Source: RNAcentral
GAUGAACGCUAGCGGGAGGCUUAACACAUGCAAGUCGAGGGGCAUCACGGGGUAGCAAUACUCUGGUGGCGACCGGCGCACGGGUGAGUAACGCGUAUGCAACCUACCCUGUACAGUGGGAUAACCCGGAGAAAUUCGGACUAAUACCGCAUAAAGAUAAUCUGAGGCAUCUCAGGCUAUUUAAAGCUUCGGUGGUACGGGAUGGGCAUGCGUAACAUUAGCUAGUUGGCAGGGUAACGGCCUACCAAGGCAAUGAUGUUUAGGGGACCUGAGAGGGUGACCCCCCACACUGGUACUGAGACACGGACCAGACUCCUACGGGAGGCAG